UAAAAUAUUUGCUAAGACAAC
RNAcentral lists this non-coding RNA (21 nucleotides) under Caenorhabditis elegans. Lineage: Eukaryota; Metazoa; Nematoda; Chromadorea; Rhabditida; Rhabditidae. The record is from RNAcentral.